Acyrthosiphon pisum (pea aphid) is the source of this 1260-nucleotide long non-coding RNA. RefSeq lists it as uncharacterized. Lineage: Eukaryota; Metazoa; Arthropoda; Insecta; Hemiptera; Aphididae. The transcript has 7 exons. The record is from RefSeq and is a predicted model, not a curated record.
CAAACCAGUGCUACCAACGUCUACGGCGAUGGACGUGAAACCAUAGAGUCACAGUAAACCUAUUUUUGUGUCACUGCUCGAGACCAAAAUCCUGAUUAUUCCAGUAAUUCAGAUUGGCUCUCGACUGUUAUUAAGCUUUUGCGGACUACUCUGGUCAUUUUUCAAAAAAGUGCUGCUCGAAACAGCGAACCCGUCGGCCGUUUAUACUUAUAGUUUGCCACGGGAUAAAUCGUUGGCCACUUUGCUCUGGGACAGCUCUCUUGUGUUGACCUUAAUAAUCCAGGGCAUUUAACGUUAAACCGGCGGCACAACGGUGGUCCCGAAGUUAUAAUUAAACCGGAACCUAGCAUUUUUUUCAUAGCAGCACUUUCUAAAGAGUUAUUUCUCUUGAAAACUCACUGCCAUCAGUCAGAUGGUAGUAUGCAACCAGGAAAUUGUCAACGUUACCCGGAAGCAGCAGAUGAUUAUAUGUUCCAUCAAACGCAACAUGGGGUUAAAAAGAUGUGGCACUGUAGACAGCCUCCAGUUCCCAAUUCAUUAGACGAUUUAGUAGAAAUGUUAGAUGACAAAUAGGUAUUGCCAAACCAUUCGAAGACGUCCAUCUAGUGGUGUCAUCAAGUUCAUGAAACACAAAUUUUCCAAAGUAAGUGGCCUCCUUUCGUGUAUUUUACAUUAAUGGUGUAUGCUUUCCUAGUAUUAAUUUACCAAAAAAAUUAUGAGGCACUUUUGAACAUUGUACAUAAUAUUCAGCCAUUGAAGUACUAACAGCUGUCUAUAAGAUGCCAUUGAUGAAUUGUGUUUUCAAUGUGAUACCCGAGACCAUGUGAGUGAAUUAAUGAGUUCUUGGUUUUAAGUCUGCCAGAACUACAACAUGGUGUUUUUGUCACAUUUAAAAUACAAUACAGAAUUGUAUCAUUCUCAAUGGUGUAUGCAUUCCUGAUAUUAAUUUACCAAGAAAGUUACUAGGCACUUUUGAACAUUGAAGUACUAACAGCUGUGUAUAUUAAGAUGAAUUAUGUUCUCGAUGUGAUGGCCGAGACCCUGAGAGCAAAUUAAUGAGUUCUUGUUUUAUUAUUGUCAGAUAGUCAUACGCUAUUGUACUUGGAAAAUUAAUAGCAUAUUAUAUCACCUGCUUCAAGGUAGCCCUGUUGCAGCUAGAGUUUGGAUAAUGGUAUUAGCUUCACAACUUUUACCUGAGAAAAGAGGCCAUCCAGAUUGUCCUUAAUAUAAUAUUAUUAAUGUCCAAGUAUUGAAGAACUU